This 244-nucleotide ribosomal RNA is filed under the name uncultured bacterium. RNAcentral's name for it is "partial 16S ribosomal RNA". It matches the Rfam family "Bacterial small subunit ribosomal RNA", at positions 1257 to 1500 of the family's 1533-position model. The record is from RNAcentral.
GUGAUGUGGAGCGAAACUCAAAAAAUAAGUCUCAGUUCGGACUGCAGCCUGCAACUCGGCUGCACGAAGCCGGAAUCGCUAGUAAUCGCAGAUCAGCAUGCUGCGGUGAAUACGUUCCCGGGUCUUGUACACACCGCCCGUCACACCAUGGGAGCCGGGAAUGCCCGAAGUCAGCGGCCCAACCGAAAGGAGGGAGCUGCCGAAGGCAGGCCUGGUGACUGGGGUGAAGUCGUAACAAGGUAUC